RNAcentral lists this unclassified non-coding RNA (332 nucleotides) under soil metagenome. RNAcentral's name for it is "partial contains 5.8S ribosomal RNA, internal transcribed spacer 2, and large subunit ribosomal RNA". The stretch from base 1 to 120 matches the Rfam family "5.8S ribosomal RNA", at positions 35 to 154 of the family's 154-position model. The record is from RNAcentral.
GAUGAAGAACGCAGCGAAAUGCGAUAAGUAAUGCGAAUUGCAGAAUUCAGUGAAUCAUCGAAUCUUUGAACGCACAUUGCGCCCGCCAGUAUUCUGGCGGGCAUGCCUGUUCGAGCGUCAUUUCAACCCUCAAGCACAGCUUGGUGUUGGGACUCGCGUUAAUUCGCGUUCCCCAAAUUGAUUGGCGGUCACGUCGAGCUUCCAUAGCGUAGUAGUAAAACCCUCGUUACUGGUAAUCGUCGCGGCCACGCCGUUAAACCCCAACUUCUGAAUGUUGACCUCGGAUCAGGUAGGAAUACCCGCUGAACUUAAGCAUAUCAAUAAGCGGAGGA